This 700-nucleotide ribosomal RNA is filed under the name uncultured Pirellula sp. RNAcentral's name for it is "bacterial SSU rRNA". It matches the Rfam family "Bacterial small subunit ribosomal RNA", at positions 63 to 768 of the family's 1533-position model. The record is from RNAcentral. Lineage: Bacteria; Pseudomonadati; Planctomycetota; Planctomycetia; Pirellulales; Pirellulaceae.
CGAGCGAGAAGGAUUUCAAAGUUUACUUUGGAAUCUGGAAAGCGGCGCAAGGGAGAGUAACGCGUAGUUAUCUACCCCAAGGCCCGGAAUAGCUGCGGGAAACUGCAGGUAAUGCCGGAUAAUAUCCCCGGAUCAAAGGUGUGAUUCCGCCUUGGGAGGAGACUGCGUUGUACUAGCUUGUUGGUAGGGUAAUGGCCUACCAAGGCUACGAUGCAUAGCGGGCGUGAGAGCGUGGCCCGUCUCACUGGGACUGAAACACUGCCCAGACACCUACGGGUGGCUGCAGUCGAGAAUCUUCGGCAAUGGGCGAAAGCCUGACCGAGCAAUGCCGCGUGCGGGAUGAAGGCCCUCGGGUUGCAAACCGCUGUCGUAGGGGAGAAAGGUCUCAUGAAGAAUGAGAUUUGAUCUAUCCUAGGAGGAAGUCCGGGCUAAGUUCGUGCCAGCAGCCGCGGUAACACGAACCGGACAAACGUUAUUCGGAAUUAUUGGGCUUAAAGGGUGCGUAGGCGGUGCGGUAAGUGAGGUGUGAAAGCCCUCGGCUCAACCGAGGAAUUGCGCUUCAUACUGCCGUGCUAGAGGGAGACAGAGGUAAGCGGAACUGAUGGUGGAGCGGUGAAAUGCGUUGAUAUCAUCAGGAACACCGGUGGCGAAAGCGGCUUACUGGGUCUCUUCUGACGCUGAGGCACGAAAGCUAGGGUAG